AGAGUUUGAUCCUGGCUCAAGAUGAACGCUGGCGGUCUGCUUAACACAUGCAAGCCGAACGGAGUAAAAAUACUUAGUGGCGGACGGGUGAGUAACGCGUGAGAAUCUGCCUUCAGGACGGAGACAACAGUUGGAAACGACUGCUAACCCCCGAUGAACCGAAAGGGAAAAUAUUUAUAGCCUGAAGAUGAGCUCGCGUCCGAUUAGCUAGUUGGCGGAGUAAAACCCCACCAAGGCGACGAUCGGUAGCUGGUCUGAGAGGACGAUCAGCCACACUGGGACUGAGACACGGCCCAUACUCCUACGGGAGGCAGCAGUGGGGAUUUUUCCGCAAUGGGCGAAAGCCUGACGGAGCAAGACCGCGUGGAGGAAGAAGGCUCUUGGGUUGUAACCCUCUUUUCUCUGGGAAGAAAGUUGUGAAAGCAACCUGACGGUACCAGAGGAAUCAGCAUCGGCUAACUCCGUGCCAGCAGCCGCGGUAAGACGGAGGAUGCAAGCGUUAUCCGGAAUGAUUGGGCGUAAAGCGUCCGCAGGUGGCAGUUCAAGUCUGCUGUCAAAGACCGGCGCUUAUCUUCGGAAAGGCAGUAGGAAACUGAACAGC
This 601-nucleotide ribosomal RNA is filed under the name uncultured bacterium. Its description in RNAcentral is "bacterial SSU rRNA". It matches the Rfam family "Bacterial small subunit ribosomal RNA", at positions 8 to 641 of the family's 1533-position model. The record is from RNAcentral.